GAUGAACGCUGGCGGCGUGCCUAAUACAUGCAAGUCGAGCGAACAGACGAGGAGCUUGCUCCUCUGACGUUAGCGGCGGACGGGUGAGUAACACGUGGAUAACCUACCUAUAAGACUGGGAUAACUUCGGGAAACCGGAGCUAAUACCGGAUAAUAUAUUGAACCGCAUGGUUCAAUAGUGAAAGACGGUUUUGCUGUCACUUAUAGAUGGAUCCGCGCCGCAUUAGCUAGUUGGUAAGGUAACGGCUUACCAAGGCAACGAUGCGUAGCCGACCUGAGAGGGGGAUCGGCGACACUGGAACUGAGACACGGUCCAGGCUCCUACGGGAGGCAGCAGUAGGGAAUCUUCCGCAAUGGGCGAAAGCCUGACGGAGCAACGCCGCGUGAGUGAUGAAGGUCUUCGGAUCGUAAAACUCUGUUAUUAGGGAAGAACAAAUGUGUAAGUAACUAUGCACGUCUUGACGGUACCUAAUCAGAAAGCCACGGCUAACUACGUG
Molecule: ribosomal RNA, 497 nt
Filed under: uncultured bacterium
Lineage: Bacteria
Description: partial 16S ribosomal RNA
Rfam family: Bacterial small subunit ribosomal RNA
Source: RNAcentral